AUGCUGCCUUAUAAGAGCUGUG
RNAcentral lists this microRNA (22 nucleotides) under Fasciola hepatica (liver fluke). Its description in RNAcentral is "fhe-miR-745a". Its record names the gene fhe-miR-745a. The record is from miRBase by way of RNAcentral. Lineage: Eukaryota; Metazoa; Platyhelminthes; Trematoda; Plagiorchiida; Fasciolidae.